UUUCCGUAGGUGAACCUGCGGAAGGAUCAUUAUCGUACAAAAUGUGAGGGGUAUGCGAGGGCUGUCGAUGACCCAAAGUCGUGAACCGCCGUGUGUGUCCUCUUGCCUAAUAAUCCAUUUCACACUUUGUGCAUCACCGCGUGGGCACCAUUCGGGAUCAUCUCGGAGGGGGGGUUCGCGUUUUCACACUAACCCCCCUUUUAAUAGUGUAGACUGACCACAUUUAUGCAAUCAAUACAACUUUCAACAACGGAUCUCUUGGCUCUC
This 267-nucleotide unclassified non-coding RNA is filed under the name plant metagenome. RNAcentral's name for it is "partial contains small subunit ribosomal RNA, internal transcribed spacer 1, and 5.8S ribosomal RNA". The record is from RNAcentral.